Molecule: long non-coding RNA, 878 nt
Organism: Peromyscus leucopus (white-footed mouse)
Lineage: Eukaryota; Metazoa; Chordata; Mammalia; Rodentia; Cricetidae
Exons: 3
Source: RefSeq, a predicted model, not a curated record
GGGAGGCCAGGAGGAAGAAGAGCCUGGGCAGGAAGGAAGUUCAGCAGAAAUGAUACAGAACUCGGCAUGGCCAUGAAGCUAAAGGAAAAGUGUGGUAGACACAUAGUGGGUGAAGGGGAGGUGACGAGUCUAUGAGGCCUCACUGUGGGAAGCUGAAGUGAGGCUGAGUGUUUAGUUUAAUCUGAGUGUGAGCCACGAAGAGGGUUUUAAGCAGAGGGGAGUGACUCUAUUCAACCCUUAAAGAAAACCUUCCUUCUGCCGUGUGAGAACAGAUCCGGGCGGCAAGAACGGGGGUGCAGACAGUGCCGUCCAGGAAGAGAGGUGCAGACAGUGCCAUCCAGGAAGAGAGGUGCAGACAGUGCCGUCCAGGAAGAGAGGUGCAGACAGUGCCGUCCAGGAAGAGAACACACAGUCUGCACUGAGACUCAUUUUCCUGAAGUGAGACAUCCCAGGAUUUCAUACUAGUGUCCAAAAACUAUCAACGCUUCCCUAUUAAUGAAGACAUCGAGUGCAAACACAAUGGAUGGCUGGGAUUCCGGGCUGUCUGUCUCUAAACACUGGCCUGCAUGAGGAGUACUAUCUACAGAAGAGACCCGCGCUUCCUAUUAAUGUGCUGGAGACAAUGUUAAUAAGAUUGGGGUGGCGUCCUAAGAGCAGCUGGAGUCUUAUUAGGAAGGACAGCAAUGGAGAGAGAACACAGCAGCGCUGAAGCUGUGAGUCCUCACUGAUGGGGUGAAACCCAACAGUACCUAAGACCGCCGGCAAACUGUCCAAGCAACAAAGACGCACACCCACUGAGACGACGGUGCAAAACGGCUCCUACCCCCCACCCCCACUACCUUUCGCACUCUGGAAAAAAAUAAAGAACAGGCUUAGAA